RNAcentral lists this ribosomal RNA (1648 nucleotides) under Salmonella enterica subsp. enterica serovar Montevideo. Its description in RNAcentral is "partial 23S ribosomal RNA". It matches the Rfam family "Bacterial large subunit ribosomal RNA", at positions 583 to 2215 of the family's 2925-position model. Lineage: Bacteria; Pseudomonadati; Pseudomonadota; Gammaproteobacteria; Enterobacterales; Enterobacteriaceae. The record is from RNAcentral.
CUUUGGGGUGUGACUGCGUACCUUUUGUAUAAUGGGUCAGCGACUUAUAUUCUGUAGCAAGGUUAACCGUAUAGGGGAGCCGGAGGGAAACCGAGUCUUAACCGGGCGUUAAGUUGCAGGGUAUAGACCCGAAACCCGGUGAUCUAGCCAUGGGCAGGUUGAAGGUUGGGUAACACUAACUGGAGGACCGAACCGACUAAUGUUGAAAAAUUAGCGGAUGACCUGUGGCUGGGGGUGAAAGGCCAAUCAAACCGGGAGAUAGCUGGUUCUCCCCGAAAGCUAUUUAGGUAGCGCCUCGUGAAUUCAUCUCCGGGGGUAGAGCACUGUUUCGGCUAGGGGGCCAUCCCGGCUUACCAACCCGAUGCAAACUGCGAAUACCGGAGAAUGUUAUCACGGGAGACACACGGCGGGUGCUAACGUCCGUCGUGAAGAGGGAAACAACCCAGACCGCCAGCUAAGGUCCCAAAGUCAUGGUUAAGUGGGAAACGAUGUGGGAAGGCCCAGACAGCCAGGAUGUUGGCUUAGAAGCAGCCAUCAUUUAAAGAAAGCGUAAUAGCUCACUGGUCGAGUCGGCCUGCGCGGAAGAUGUAACGGGGCUAAACCAUGCACCGAAGCUGCGGCAGCGACGCUGAUGCGUUGUUGGGUAGGGGAGCGUUCUGUAAGCCUGCGAAGGUGGCCUGUGAGGGUUGCUGGAGGUAUCAGAAGUGCGAAUGCUGACAUAAGUAACGAUAAAGCGGGUGAAAAGCCCGCUCGCCGGAAGACCAAGGGUUCCUGUCCAACGUUAAUCGGGGCAGGGUGAGUCGACCCCUAAGGCGAGGCCGAAAGGCGUAGUCGAUGGGAAACGGGUUAAUAUUCCCGUACUUGGUGUUACUGCGAAGGGGGGACGGAGAAGGCUAUGUUGGCCGGGCGACGGUUGUCCCGGUUUAAGCGUGUAGGUGUGUGUUCCAGGUAAAUCCGGUUCACUUUAACACUGAGGCGUGAUGACGAGGCACUACGGUGCUGAAGCAACAAAUGCCCUGCUUCCAGGAAAAGCCUCUAAGCAUCAGGUAACAUCAAAUCGUACCCCAAACCGACACAGGUGGUCAGGUAGAGAAUACCAAGGCGCUUGAGAGAACUCGGGUGAAGGAACUAGGCAAAAUGGUGCCGUAACUUCGGGAGAAGGCACGCUGACACGUAGGUGAAGUGAUUUACUCAUGGAGCUGAAGUCAGUCGAAGAUACCAGCUGGCUGCAACUGUUUAUUAAAAACACAGCACUGUGCAAACACGAAAGUGGACGUAUACGGUGUGACGCCUGCCCGGUGCCGGAAGGUUAAUUGAUGGGGUCAGCGCAAGCGAAGCUCCUGAUCGAAGCCCCGGUAAACGGCGGCCGUAACUAUAACGGUCCUAAGGUAGCGAAAUUCCUUGUCGGGUAAGUUCCGACCUGCACGAAUGGCGUAAUGAUGGCCAGGCUGUCUCCACCCGAGACUCAGUGAAAUUGAACUCGCUGUGAAGAUGCAGUGUACCCGCGGCAAGACGGAAAGACCCCGUGAACCUUUACUAUAGCUUGACACUGAACAUUGAGCCUUGAUGUGUAGGAUAGGUGGGAGGCUUUGAAGUGUGGACGCCAGUCUGCAUGGAGCCGACCUUGAAAUACCACCCUUUAAUGUUU